ACUUGGUGCAAGGGAGAAAACAGGCUCAGGGAUCCAACCCGAGGCAAGGGGGAAGCAGGUAGGGGAUCCAAAGUGCCCCCGGCCAUGCCCGCUCGAGCCGGGUGGCGGGCCAGGGGCAACUGAGGGCUGACCCCUCCUUGGGGCGAACCGGAGAUCUCUGAAGCUGCAGGGGGAUGACCAGGAUGGUUCGCUGCAGCGGCGGCAACCAGAGUUUGUUGCUCUACUCUCGAUGGAAUGGUCCAGGACGCCAAUCCUUGCUUAGUGACCAAGUGACUGGUAGCAGCUGGGGGUUUCCUGGAGCCUCUAAUACAGCCUGUGCAGCUCCGGACUUCUGGUAGGGAAAGAGGCCGAACUCUUCUAGGCAAGGCUGGUCAGAGAGAAGCGGCCUUGCCCGAAGAUUGACGUUGGUUUUCUCUGCGUCACUGCUUUGGAACCAUUCUAAAGUGGAAGAGGAAGGCAGCAGACCCGAAUUCCCUCUCCGUAAACCUGGGGUUGCCCGCCCACCUGAUCCAUCGCCACAAGUCCCAGCCAGCCUAUACCACCUACGUUUCUCCGAUGGUCAGGAGAUUUCUCCAACGCUCCCCUCCGGAACCGGAACUCCCCAAGACGGGCGGCCCGCCUGAAAUGGCCCAAGAAAGGCAGGAAGCAGAGAGUGAGGGGCCGCCCCAGUCAGCGCUCAGCCCUCAGAAUUCAGCGGCCGUCCCCCGGGGCCUGGAGCCUGACCCAGGUUCGGCCCAGGGCCCCUCAGGGUCGGGAUAUAAGGUCAUUUUCCCGCGGAAACCCCCGCUCCGGGUACUUCCCUUUGGCUCCCAAACCGGGCGCGAGGAGGGAGAGGUAAGGGAUUGUCCGCAGUUGAUGCUUGAAGAAUGACUUUCCCUCCGUCUGGGUCACCAAAGCUGUUCCCCUGUGAAAUUUCUUUUAACAUGUCUUUAAAAGGC
Ornithorhynchus anatinus (platypus) is the source of this 938-nucleotide RNA transcript. It is a transcript of the gene named CMT1A duplicated region transcript 4 protein homolog, with no coding region annotated. The record is from RefSeq and is a predicted model, not a curated record. The transcript has 4 exons. NCBI's taxonomy places the organism in Eukaryota, Metazoa, Chordata, Mammalia, Monotremata, Ornithorhynchidae.